Molecule: ribosomal RNA, 424 nt
Filed under: uncultured prokaryote
Description: bacterial SSU rRNA
Rfam family: Bacterial small subunit ribosomal RNA
Source: RNAcentral
UGGGGAAUCUUGGACAAUGGGCGCAAGCCUGAUCCAGCCAUGCCGCGUGGGUGAAGAAGGCCUUAGGGUUGUAAAGCCCUUUCAGUCGUGACGAUGAUGACGGUAGCGACAGAAGAAGCCCCGGCUAACUCCGUGCCAGCAGCCGCGGUAAUACGGAGGGGGUUAGCGUUGCUCGGAAUCACUGGGCGUAAAGCGCGCGUAGGCGGGUCGCUAAGUCAGGGGUGAAAUCCUGGAGCUCAACUCCAGAACUGCCUUUGAUACUGGCGACCUUGAGUCCGGGAGAGGUGAGUGGAAUUGCGAGUGUAGAGGUGAAAUUCGUAGAUAUUCGCAAGAACACCAGUGGCGAAGGCGGCUCACUGGCCCGGAACUGACGCUGAGGUGCGAAAGCGUGGGGAGCAAACAGGAUUAGAUACCCCUGUAGUCC